AAAUAUCUGGCAAAUAUUGUGGGAACAGAAACACAUGCUAACAAACGUUGUGGAGAAUGGAAAGACAAAUACUUACCAAUUAAUGAUAAAAGAAAUGCCUAAUUUGAAGAAUGAAUUACACUUAUUUUCAUAAUCAAGAAGCAGUGAGACCUUGUUUUAUGUACAUUCAAUUAUUCUAUUUUGUAUUUAUUAGGAUGUGUCA
Amphimedon queenslandica is the source of this 202-nucleotide long non-coding RNA. RefSeq lists it as uncharacterized. The transcript is spliced from 3 exons. NCBI's taxonomy places the organism in Eukaryota, Metazoa, Porifera, Demospongiae, Haplosclerida, Niphatidae. The record is from RefSeq and is a predicted model, not a curated record.